AGAGUUUGAUCAUGGCUCAGGAUGAACGCUGGCGGCGUGCUUAACACAUGCAAGUCGAACGGACGUAAGGGGCUUGCUCCUUACGUUAGUGGCGGACGGGUGAGUAACACGUGAGCAAUCUGCCCAUAGCAGGGGGAUAACAGUUAGAAAUGACUGCUAAUACCGCAUAAGACCACAGAGAGGCAUCUUUCAGGGGUCAAAGAUUUUAUCGGCUAUGGAUGAGCUCGCGUCCCAUUAGGCAGUUGGCGGGGUAACGGCCCACCAAACCUACGAUGGGUAGCCGACCUUAGAGGGUGAUCGGCCACAUUGGAACUGAGACACGGUCCAAACUCCUACGGGAGGCAGCAGUGGGGAAUAUUGGGCAAUGGAGGCAACUCUGACCCAGCAACGCCGCGUGAGUGAUGAAGGUCCUCGGAUUGUAAAGCUCUUUAAGUUGGGACGAAGAAAGUGACGGUACCAACAGAAUAAGCCUCGGCUAACUACGUGCCAGCAGCCGCGGUAAUACGUAGGAGGCAAGCGUUAUCCGGAAUGACUGGGCGUAAAGGGUGCGUAGGUGGCUUGGCAAGUUGGUAGCGUAAUUCCGGGGCUUAACUUCGGAGCUACUACCAAAACUGUUUGGCUUGAGUGCAGGAGGGGUAAACGGAAUUCCUAGUGUAGCGGUGGAAUGCGUAGAUAUUAGGAGGAACACCAGCGGCGAAGGCGGUUUACUGGACUGUAACUGACACUGAGGCACGAAAGCGUGGGGAGCAAACAGGAUUAGAUACCCUGGUAGUCCACGCUGUAAACGACGAAUACUAGUG
RNAcentral lists this ribosomal RNA (800 nucleotides) under uncultured bacterium. Its description in RNAcentral is "bacterial SSU rRNA". It matches the Rfam family "Bacterial small subunit ribosomal RNA", at positions 8 to 821 of the family's 1533-position model. The record is from RNAcentral.